GUGCCAGCCGCCGCGGUAAUACGGAGGGUGCAAGCGUUGUCCGGAAUCACUGGGCGUAAAGGGUGCGCAGGCGGGGCAGCAAGUCGGAGGUGAAAGCCCGUGGCUCAACCACGGAAGUGCCUUCGAAACUGUUGCUCUUGAGUCCCGGAGAGGUUGCCGGAAUUCGUGGUGUAGCGGUGAAAUGCGUAGAUAUCACGAGGAACACCAGAGGCGAAAGCGGGCAGCUGGACGGGUACUGACGCUCAGGCACGAAAGCGCGGGGAGCAAACAGGAUUAGAUACCCGGGUAGUCC
This 292-nucleotide ribosomal RNA is filed under the name uncultured bacterium. RNAcentral describes it as "partial 16S ribosomal RNA". It matches the Rfam family "Bacterial small subunit ribosomal RNA", at positions 505 to 796 of the family's 1533-position model. The record is from RNAcentral.